Oryzias latipes (Japanese medaka) is the source of this 2863-nucleotide non-coding RNA. The record is from RefSeq and is a predicted model, not a curated record. NCBI's taxonomy places the organism in Eukaryota, Metazoa, Chordata, Actinopteri, Beloniformes, Adrianichthyidae.
UCAGCAGAAGGCCCAGAAACAUCAAACCCACUCGAGCUUGACCCAGAUCACAUGAGGCUGAUCCAAUGCCCGGAGAACAUAUGCUGUGAUCUGAUGAUUUAGUAAUCUUUGAAGACAGCAGAGAAAAAAUGUAUGAUUUCAUGUUCUGUUCUGAUCUUACAUCCGUGUUCAUUUUAAAUCAGUUCCAUCAGCAGCAGCAGCACAAAGUCAGAGCUGUUGUGAGGAUGACACGGUUCCUUUCUCAAGUUCUUCACUUCGAUCAAGUUUAUCUGCAGCUGUCCACAGCUUGUAAUUAUGGAGCCAAAGACAACGCAAUUAGGCUGGAGACAACAAAAGAUCCGGAAGCUGUUUAGAAUGGAAUAAUGAACUCAUUCAGAUGACUCCAUUCACUGAUCGAUCUACACUCCCGUCCUCAUCUGUCUGCCCCGGCAGCAGAUACAGAACGGUUAAUGAGAUCAUGAAACAAGCCAAUGAGGUUACUUCAGUUCCGUCCUGUCAUCAAGUAGAAGAUCACAAACUUUCAAACUUGGUGAUGGACAGUUCCGUCCAGGUCCAUCUCUGCUUUGUCUUCAAGCAUAAAAAAACAAACUUUGGCUGAUCAGGAGUUUCAGACGACAACCAAGACGAUAGAAGCUUCGGGUCUCCAAUGGCUUUGUCAUGGUGCCUCUGUCAACCCCGCCCCCUCUGCUCUGCUCCUGACUCCACCAGCUGUGACCACUUCACCCUCAUCAACCCUGCUGCCCUUAAGGAGACCCAGCUCCAUCAUUCGACGCCAGUUCGUUACCCCUAAUGGUGACUACGCCUGGUCUGCCUGCUCAUGCCUAGCUUUUUCUUGCCUUGCCUUGCUCUAAACUUAUGCCUCCUUGUCUCAGGAUUCAUAAAAACGAAGGUCACCUGUGUGGAAGUCAUCAGCUACUUACCUGCUGCCUCGAAGAUCCUCUGAGCCGAUCUGCCGCGGUAUUACCUCCAGCCACGCCACGAGCCAGUCUGGAUCAUCAACCUGCUGAAAACAACCUUGUCAUCUGCCUUGCCAUUAAAACCACUUACCAAGUCACCCACCUGUGUGGUCACUCUGGGUUUCAGCGUCUGGGUCUGUCUCGCCUGAAAACUAAGGUUUGUUGACUUCCAGAGCUUUUCUCUGCCUCAGUCACAUUGGUGACAGUACAGUCAGGGAGGUGUGGCCUCUUUUGAGGCUCCUACGAGAAGUAUUUGUAAAACUAAAUUCCACUUGGCGUACGGGAAAUGCUGUCGUACGCCACACUCUAGUCGUUAAUGAGGUGUGAGUAAUGGCUCCUUACAGAACGUGUGCAAAUGCUGCACACAGAAUGUGCGUGUGAUACGUAGGACGUCCACGCAAACUACGCUAAUUUCCUUAUGCCUAACAGUCAGACUGCAGCUGGAGCGUGCACGUGUCACGUGAACAGCACUAACGGGCUCCCAGCUCAGGUUUGCUAUAAGUGUCUGCAUCUCUACCUUCACCCUGACUUACCCUUACGUGUUGUUUACGUGUUUGCUACAAUCUGUCGCUUGCAAGAUGCCCGCAGAAAUAACGUGCAUGAAGCAUUUUGCUCCACAGACUCAUCAAGUGGUCCAUGAUUUUAAAAUCUGGUUCAGACCACCUACAUUCCCCGUACAGGUUUGCCCAUUUUUCCUCCCCAGACAGCCCGUAUCCACCCGUAAGGGCAGUUAGGACUCAGACAUGAGCCAAGUAGCCCCCUCCUUUACAAAAUGUGGCCCAACGACAGGUGGUGUCAGCUCGCUGUGGAGGUAAAUCUGUAGGAAAGAUCUAUGCUGAGUCACACAUAAGUGGGCGACGGUUCUCUUCAUCUGAGUGACAUUGUCUUGAAACAUUUCAAAGAAAGAAGACUUGACGUCCAGAUGCCAUGAUUCAACUUCUCGUCGAGUGACACAAGUCCCAAACAGGGUCUUAUUUCACACUCUCGAGGCAAACUUUUGGAGAACUUGCAUAAAAGAAAAUACGUUCACACUCUGCAUUUUCGCUGCACAAAGCUCUGGUCAGACAUUUAAACGUCUGCCUCCUGCAGAAUAACAUGUUUACAUACCUCCCCAAAAUAGUUUUGCAACAAUUUUUGCCCCAAACUUUUCUGAGAGGAAACCUUUACCAAUGGACCAAACAUUUCAACCAAUCAAAAAGGCAGAGGGUAAAAAAAAGGCCAAUCAGAGCGCAAUCGAUGAUGACAGGAGAUCAGCCGAUCCACAGAGAGAAUGUCACUCAGAUCAGAAAAAGAAACGAGAACAUGAGAAAAAAUGACAGCACUUAAAUAUUUAAAGACUAUACUUUAAUAGAGGCAUAUUUUUAUGUUUGGAAUUUUAUUUUAUUUCAUAAUCUGUCCUAAUUUUCUUUGGAAUGUUACUGAUUUGCUGCCACCUUUGUUGCAUUCUUUCAUUGUUGUAAUUAAUCUUUAAUUUCAGAUUUUGAAGCAUUGUUGGAGUGUGUGUCUUUUAGCAAUUAUUCCCUUUUGAAAAUGUUCCAUUACAAUUGAUGUACCAUUUUAUAGUUAAAAUAUUUCUUGCCAAAAAUAUAGUUUGAUUGAAUUAUUUAAAGAAGUCUGUUCAAAAUUUAUUUUGGCUCUAGACGAGUGAAGUAUUGUUGGUUUUUAUUUUGUUGAGGAAACUUGAAAUCAUUUUGACAUUAAUCAUUUUCAAUAUGAAGUAUUUUAGUAGUUUGAAUUAUAAAUCUUUAGUUGGGUUUAACUAAAUGUGUUUGGAUUAUUCAAAUUCAUUUCUUUAGAAGCUUUACCUAAUGAGUUUAGAUUGCUCAAAACCUUAUGCCUAUUUGACAUUAGCUAAUUUAUUUUAAUUAGGUGUGAGUGUGAGAGUGAAUGGAUGUGUGAUUGAGGAU